Molecule: long non-coding RNA, 1393 nt
Filed under: Nicotiana benthamiana
Lineage: Eukaryota; Viridiplantae; Streptophyta; Magnoliopsida; Solanales; Solanaceae
Description: long non-coding RNA (NBEN_LNC024089)
Source: RNAcentral
ACAACAAUUAGUGCCGAGCAGAUGAGGGCCGUCUAGGUUCCUUGAUCGAAAAGCCACAUAUCAACCCCAGUUGAUAUAUAAGUAUCGGAACAAACCCCCCACCCCCGUCUCACACCUCAAUCGACUUCCUCAGCCUUCCCUUAUCACAAAACCUUAGAACCCACUACCCCAAAUUCCCUCGCCGGCGAUGGUGACGCCACCUCCAAACGCCAGUAUAUUAACACCCCAAACUCCUCUUCUCAUCCUCUUUCCAAAUAUGCAAACGACUUCCCUCAAACCCCAUCCAAACUCGUCGAAUAUCCGUUCAAAGAUUUUUCGGCAAUGAUGCCACCAGUCCCAAACUCCACCAAAUUUACACCCUUACCCCAUCCCUCGAAUCCCACCGGAGCUGUUUUAUCAGUUUAAAUUUUUUUCGGCCAAAACCCUAGCCACACCAACUCGCCCAAAUCGAUACCAUACGUUUCCCGAGAUUCUCUCAUAAGGAAUUCAUCAUCAGUUGAUCUCAAAUGCCAUCUGAAAUGGAUGAAUUGAGAGUGAUAACUGGUCGUAGUUCUUUAUCAGUGAGUCUGCUUUUCUUUUUGUGUUUUGUUUUCCUUAGUUCUUAAUUAGUUUAAGUUGUAUUGUUCUUUGCUGAUAAUUCCAUAUUCUUUCAAUUUCUAUAUUAAUUUUAGCCUAGUUCAAUCCGAGUUAAUGGUGUUCAUUAGAACAAUUGUCUAAGUUACUUUUUGUUUUAUCAAUUAUGUGUUGUUUCAUGUUCUAGCUGACUGAUUAAGUUUAGUUUGUUUAAUUUCUGGUUUAAUAUGAUUGGAAUCCUUUCUGUUUGAUUAGGUGUUGUUUAUGUUCUUCAAGUUAUCUUAAUUUUUGUUUAAGUUUCUUUUAAGCCUUAAUUAGUUUAAUGCUAGUUUAGGUUCAAGAGAUUGGUUAUAGUUGUUAGUUUUGUUUAGUAUUAAGGGGGUUUUGGUCAAUUAAUUUGGGGUCAGUUGAACAGGGAAUUAGUUUCAGGAUUAGUCAGGGGCAAAUUGGGUAUUUGGGAUGGAAGAAUCAUGUUCAAGUUAGUACUAGAAUUCCCUAGAUCUUUCUAGAUAGGGAUAUAAGUGAAGUUUUAGGAAAGUUCAAGGUACUAACUUGUGUAACAAGUUAAAAAUAGGGAAUUAAAAGCUGCAAAUAAGUGAGGACUAAAAAUAAAAUACAAAAUUUGAAAUUCCCUCAUGUAUGCCUAUAAAAGGGGCAUUUCUGUGCCUUGUUGAAAAGGUUUGUAGACACUCUGAAAAUUCCCAAGGUUUUUCAGCUCAAAAAUUCCCUAAAAGGCUCUCUUUAGUUUUAUGAUCUAGAUUUGGAAUUCAGUAUCUAAAAAAGAAACCAAAAACAAAUAGAAAAAUAGAAUAAAAAAUCC